UGAAAUGCAAACCAAAACCUCUUACAUCUC
This 30-nucleotide non-coding RNA is filed under the name Mus musculus (house mouse). Lineage: Eukaryota; Metazoa; Chordata; Mammalia; Rodentia; Muridae. The record is from RNAcentral.